RNAcentral lists this long non-coding RNA (677 nucleotides) under Citrus sinensis (sweet orange). RNAcentral describes it as "long non-coding RNA (CSIN_LNC000453)". The record is from RNAcentral. Lineage: Eukaryota; Viridiplantae; Streptophyta; Magnoliopsida; Sapindales; Rutaceae.
UUUUUUUCUGACUAAAUAGAAUUCCUGACGUUAGGAUAUCAAAGUGGGGUUAACGAAAAAGAAAACAGAACGAACUUCGUGGAAAUUAAUGACAACGACUAGCUACCUCUGCAAUCGCCAAUCAGGUUUAGUGGCACCAAGAUUCAACCCCCAAUUGAGCAUACAAGGCAGAAUAUUGGCUUGUGUUCUUGAUGGAUUUGGAAAUGUGUUCCGGGUCCGGACCCGGUAACAACAGUCACAGAAAGCACUAGAAUGUGUCACGGCCAGGACCAGUUCCAGAACCAUCAGAAGAGAAAAUUGGACCACAUCACAAGCCGAAAAGGUAACCAUUAAACCAAACCAAAAGUCGGGAGAUCAUUACAUUCAUUUAUGCAAAACACGAUCAUACCGGGAGUUGACAUGUACAUGAUACUUCUUAUCAGACAAGGAAGUUGAAACUAGUUUGUACUUUACUAGUAUUAUAUCAUACAUAUUACUACUGAGCAGUAGCUUUCUUGGCUUUCUUAGCAGCAGAGGACUUGAUGGAUUUGGGCUGCUUUGGUUUGGCAGCAGCCGAUUUCUUUGCCUUCUUAGGCGGAGGAGGAGCGGCGGCGGCAGACUCUGCUUUGAUUUUAGCUGCAGCAGUUACGGACCUUGUUUUCCUUGGGGCCUUGGCCUUGGUCUUGAUCUCUUUUUUG